Molecule: long non-coding RNA, 862 nt
Filed under: Homo sapiens (human)
Lineage: Eukaryota; Metazoa; Chordata; Mammalia; Primates; Hominidae
Description: non-protein coding lnc-PCP2-1:3
Source: RNAcentral
GCCCAGGCCCAGGAAGUUGAGUCCCUGGCGGGGAGGACGGGCAGGUGCGUCCGCGCUGCCGAGCACGAAGUCGCUGGAGGUGCACACCUCGACGACACGCUCACAGAUGGGAGUUCAGACACACACUUCCUGGCUUGCGUGCGAAGCAGGAUCGCAGGGCAAUAAUCCCUCCAUCUUCCCCGGGAGGUUCUGUGCCUGCAAGAUACACGGCACCCACUCGAUGCCACCGGGCCGCCACUGUCUGGGCCUGGGAUCUUGACCCACUUGCCUUCUGUACUUCAGGGUUUAGAGGCAGCAGCAGCAGCAGCAGCCGUCUUGGAUAACUUUUGAUGGAUUCAGGAGGCCUGGAGACCUCUUGUGUGCAGGCACCUGGACAUAAUUUUCAUUCAGUCCUGCCCAAUGUUCCGACCUGGACUGCGGUGCCGACGAGGAAACCGAGGCUUAGCGGGAUCCCUAAUCCAAGGCCACGACGAGUGAGCCUGCUGGGUUCAAGCCAGGAGCCUGUCCCCAGGGGGCAUUUGUCACAGCCUUACCCUCUUCCGGGAGGCGCAACGCUUACCCUCGUGGACCAACAAUCGAAUUAACAUGCUGAUACACACAUGGGGUGAGUGACGCCCUCAAAUGCUUGCAAACACAGACACACACUCGGAAUUUCAGAAGCUGCUUCUGCUGUGUGUCCUGUCGCUUGGAAGGCACAGCCCCAGCAGCACCCAUACAAAAUGAGGUCUCCGAUUUAAGGUGGCAGCUGCCCUUUCAGGAGCCAGUGGGGGAACCUGGGUGGCUGGGUGGGGACACCUGCAAGUCCUCCCUAAGCCAGCUACCACCCUACACUGUUGGCCUCCCUUCUCCAACUGUGGGGAUG